UACGUAGGGUGCGAGCGUUAAUCGGAAUUACUGGGCGUAAAGCGUGCGCAGGCGGUCUUGUAAGACAGGUGUGAAAACCCCGGGCUUAACCUGGGAACUGCAUUUGUGACUGCAAGGCUGGAGUACGGUAGAGGGGGAUGGAAUUCCGCGUGUAGCAGUGAAAUGCGUAGAUAUGCGGAGGAACACCGAUGGCGAAGGCAGUCCCCUGGACCUGUACUGACGCUCAUGCACGAAAGCGUGGGGAGCAAACAGG
RNAcentral lists this ribosomal RNA (253 nucleotides) under uncultured bacterium. Its description in RNAcentral is "partial 16S ribosomal RNA". It matches the Rfam family "Bacterial small subunit ribosomal RNA", at positions 524 to 776 of the family's 1533-position model. The record is from RNAcentral.